CAUGCCCCGGGCGACGGCUCCCCCGUGAACCCCGUCCGGACCGGAAGGUAGCAGCGGUAGCGGUGGCGCCGGGUGCUCGGGGCACUUUC
RNAcentral lists this signal recognition particle RNA (89 nucleotides) under Myxococcales bacterium. RNAcentral's name for it is "signal recognition particle sRNA small type". It matches the Rfam family "Bacterial small signal recognition particle RNA". From Rfam's summary of the family: The signal recognition particle (SRP) is a universally conserved ribonucleoprotein involved in the co-translational targeting of proteins to membranes. The record is from RNAcentral. Lineage: Bacteria; Pseudomonadati; Myxococcota; Myxococcia; Myxococcales.